Salvia splendens (bonfire salvia) is the source of this 548-nucleotide long non-coding RNA. RefSeq lists it as uncharacterized. Lineage: Eukaryota; Viridiplantae; Streptophyta; Magnoliopsida; Lamiales; Lamiaceae. The transcript is spliced from 3 exons. The record is from RefSeq and is a predicted model, not a curated record.
ACUUCCCCCCAUCCCUAAUUCACGUCUCUCUCUCAGUUUCAAAUCCCCCCAAAACCCCCGCUAUUCAAAUCCCCCAAAAUUCACGUUCCCAACUUCUCAAUUUUAAAAAUCCCCAUCCUUUCCCUAAUUCUCCCAAUCCGAGCAGGAGAUUGGAUUUUCAUUGCUAACAGGAUUUGUUGCAGAGAAACACCUUUGGGUUUUCGGAGGAUAGAAUUUUCCAGCAGAAAAUUCCAGGUCCAAACCACAAGCCAAUCUUUGCUAAUGAGGGCAUUUAAUCAGGCUAUCAGAUCGACAAGGAACUCGAUCAUUUGAAGAACGCGUUUGAGGAACAGAUGAAGUUAUUGUGGACAUGAAGAUGUGAUGUUUGUCAAAGGGAGCUCAAAGGGAAAUAAAAAAUGCUAGAUGAAUGUUAGAUCUAGAAUUUUAUGUUUGUAUACAUUGAUUUUCAUUUUACAUUGUAUAUAUUGAUUAUUUUAAAACUAUUAUGCAAAUUUUUUAUGUAACAGUCCUUUUAUAUUUGAGGCAUUUUAAAUAUUAUAUUUAAUUUA